RNAcentral lists this ribosomal RNA (510 nucleotides) under uncultured bacterium. Its description in RNAcentral is "bacterial SSU rRNA". It matches the Rfam family "Bacterial small subunit ribosomal RNA", at positions 773 to 1282 of the family's 1533-position model. The record is from RNAcentral.
AGAGAAUAGAUACCCAGGUAGUCCACGCUGUAAACGAUGUUCACUCGCUGUUUGCGAUACACAGUAAAGCGGCUGAGCGAAAGCAUUAAGUGAACCACCUGGGGAGUACGAUCGCAAGGUUGAAACUCAAAGGAAUUGACGGGGGCCCGCACAAGCGGAGGAACAUGUGGUUUAAUUCGAUGAUACGCGAGGAACCUUACCUGGGCUUAAAUGUAGAUUGCAUUUUCGGGUAAACCGGAAUUCCCUUCGGGGUCGUAUUUACAAGGUGCUGCAUGGUUGUCGUCAGCUCGUGCCGUGAGGUGUCGGGUUAAGUCCCAUAACGAGCGCAACCCCUAUCGUUAGUUGCCAGCGGAUAAUGCCGGGGGACUCUAGCGAGACUGCCACCGUAAGGUGAGAGGAAGGUGGGGAUGACGUCAAAUCAGCACGGCCCUUAUGUCCAGGGCUACACACGUGUUACAAUGGCCGAUACAAAGGGCAGCUACCAGGUGACUGGAUGCUAAUCUCUAAAGU